Molecule: non-coding RNA, 26 nt
Filed under: Mus musculus (house mouse)
Lineage: Eukaryota; Metazoa; Chordata; Mammalia; Rodentia; Muridae
Source: RNAcentral
UCAUAUGUCUGAUGAGUCUGGUUCCA